This 484-nucleotide ribosomal RNA is filed under the name uncultured bacterium. RNAcentral describes it as "bacterial SSU rRNA". It matches the Rfam family "Bacterial small subunit ribosomal RNA", at positions 30 to 507 of the family's 1533-position model. The record is from RNAcentral.
AUUGAACGCUGGCGGCAUGCCUUACACAUGCAAGUCGAACGGUAACGGGUCCUUCGGGAUGCCGACGAGUGGCGAACGGGUGAGUAAUACAUCGGAACGUGCCUGGUAGUGGGGGAUAACUACUCGAAAGAGUGGCUAAUACCGCAUGAGAUCUCAGGAUGAAAGCAGGGGACCCUCGGGCCUUGCGCUAUCAGAGCGGCCGAUGGCAGAUUAGGUAGUUGGUGGGAUAAAAGCUUACCAAGCCGACGAUCUGUAGCUGGUCUGAGAGGACGAUCAGCCACACUGGGACUGAGACACGGCCCAGACUCCUACGGGAGGCAGCAGUGGGGAAUUUUGGACAAUGGGCGCAAGCCUGAUCCAGCAAUGCCGCGUGCAGGAUGAAGGCCUUCGGGUUGUAAACUGCUUUUGUACGGAACGAAAAGCUUCGGGCUAAUACCCUGGAGUCAUGACGGUACCGUAAGAAUAAGCACCGGCUAACUACGUG